AUUGAACGCUGGCGGCAUGCCUUACACAUGCAAGUCGAACGGAUUGAGGGGCUUGCUCCUCAGUUAGUGGCGAACGGGUGAGUAAUGCAUCGGAACGUACCUUUUUGUGGGGGAUAACUACUCGAAAGAGUAGCUAAUACCGCAUACGCCCUGAGGGGGAAAGCGGGGGACUCGCAAGAGCCUCGCGCAAAGAGAGCGGCCGAUGUCAGAUUAGCUAGUUGGUAGGGAAAGCCUACCAAGGCGACGAUCUGUAGCUGGUCUGAGAGGACGACCAGCCACACUGGGACUGAGACACGGCCCAGACUCCUACGGGAGGCAGCAGUGGGGAAUUUUGGACAAUGGGCGAAAGCCUGAUCCAGCCAUGCCGCGUGAGUGAAGAAGGCCU
Molecule: ribosomal RNA, 385 nt
Filed under: uncultured bacterium
Lineage: Bacteria
Description: bacterial SSU rRNA
Rfam family: Bacterial small subunit ribosomal RNA
Source: RNAcentral